GAUGAACGCUGGCGGCGUGCCUAAUACAUGCAAGUCGAGCGAACAGACGAGGAGCUUGCUCCUCUGACGUUAGCGGCGGACGGGUGAGUAACACGUGGAUAACCUACCUAUAAGACUGGGAUAACUUCGGGAAACCGGCGCUAAUACCGUAUAAUAUAUUGAACCGCAUGGUUCAAUAGUGAAAGACGGUUUUGCUGCCACUUCUCGAUGGAUCCGCGCCGCAUUAGCUAGUUGGUAAGGUAACGGCUUACCAAGGCGACGAUGCGUAGCCGACCUGAGAGGGUGAUAGGCCACACUGGAACUGAGACACGGUCAAGACUCCUAAGGGAGGCAGCAGUAGGGAAUCUUCCGCAAUGGGCGAAAGCAUGACGGAGCAACGCCGCGUGAGUGAUGAAGGUCUUCGGAUCGUAAAACUCUGUUAUUAGGGAAGAACAAAUGUGUAAGUAACUAUGCACGUCUUGACGGUAACUAAUCAGAAAGCCACGGCUAACUACGUG
This 497-nucleotide ribosomal RNA is filed under the name uncultured bacterium. RNAcentral describes it as "partial 16S ribosomal RNA". It matches the Rfam family "Bacterial small subunit ribosomal RNA", at positions 28 to 507 of the family's 1533-position model. The record is from RNAcentral.